Molecule: ribosomal RNA, 375 nt
Filed under: Eutintinnus sp.
Lineage: Eukaryota; Ciliophora; Spirotrichea; Tintinnida; Tintinnidae
Description: SSU rRNA
Rfam family: Eukaryotic small subunit ribosomal RNA
Source: RNAcentral
AGCUCCAAUAGCGUAUAUUAAAGUUGUUGCAGUUAAAAAGCUCGUAGUUGGAUUUCUGGUCGGGGCCAACGGUGCGCAUCCGCGCGCCCGCGUCCUCUGCCAUCCUUCUGUUAAGCUCGUAUAGCAUUCAUUUGUUGACGAGUGGCUCAGAUAUUUUACCUUGAGAAAAUUAGAGUGUUUCAGGCAGGCUAGCGCCGGGAUACAUUAGCAUGGAAUAAUGGAACAGGACUUUAACCUCUUCUGUUGGUCUGAGGGGUUAGAGUAAUGAUUAAUAGGGAUAGUUGGGGGCAUUAGUACUUAACUGUCAGAGGUGAAAUUCUCGGAUUUGUUAAAGACUAACUUAUGCGAAAGCAUUUGCCAAAGAUGUUUUCAUUA